This 492-nucleotide ribosomal RNA is filed under the name uncultured bacterium. RNAcentral describes it as "partial 16S ribosomal RNA". It matches the Rfam family "Bacterial small subunit ribosomal RNA", at positions 29 to 507 of the family's 1533-position model. The record is from RNAcentral.
AGUGAACGCUGGCGGUAGGCCUAACACAUGCAAGUCGAACGGCAGCACAGUAAGAGCUUGCUCUUACGGGUGGCGAGUGGCGGACGGGUGAGGAAUACAUCGGAAUCUUCUUUUUCGUGGGGGAUAACGUAGGGAAACUUACGCUAAUACCGCAUAUGACCUACGGGUGAAAGCAGGGGUUCUUCGGACCUUUCGCGAUUGAAUGAGCCGAUGUCGGAUUAGCUAGUUGGCGGGGUAAAGGCCCACCAAGGCGACGAUCCGUAGCUGGUCUGACAGGAUGAUCAGCCACACUGGAACUGAGACACGGUCCAGACUCCUACGGGAGGCAGCAGUGGGGAAUAUUGGACAAUGGGCGCAAGCCUGAUCCAACCAUACCGCGUGGGUGAAGAAGGCCUUCGGGUUGUAAAGCCCUUUUGUUGGGAAAGAAAAGCAGCAGGUUAAUACCCCGCUGUUCUGACGGUACCCAAAGAAUAAGCACCGGCUAACUUCGUG